CAGGGAUGGGGAUUCCAUCUCCACUUCCCCAUAACUGGUCACGCUCAGGCCGCUGUGUGCACGGCCUGUCCAGACAGCACCCACCUUGGGAAGGCUCCUGGCAGCAGGAUGGAUGAACCAGGAGGGAAAACUGUUCUGCUGGGAUCGAUUCUCCCUGGUGGCACAGUUUUAGGCGCGGGGAAGCAGUGCUUGCCCGGCGAGCUCUGCCCCACACAGCGACGUGGGAUGGCCCGACAAGGGCAGGAGCUGGGCUCCCAAAGCCCCGGAGAAGCCCCAGGCGCCCCCAGGCCUUACCUCCCAGCGUGGCGAAGAAGCCCUCCACGGCACAGCCGGUGGGGCCGAAGAUGAAGUAGCCGUUCCAGGCGGUGGUGAACGUGACGGUGAAGCCAAAACAGGCCAUGAAGAGAUCGGCCACCGCCAGGUUGACCAAGAUGUAGUUGAGCGGCUGCCGGAGCUUCUUGUGUUUGAAGGUGACCAGGAGGGUGAGGAAGUUGAUGGGGAAGCCGGUGGAGAUGAGGAAGAAGAUGUAGACGCAGACGAUGCGGUAUUUCCAGGGCUCGGCCAGAGAGAGUGCAGAGAGACCAGCCCAACCUGGAAGAGCAAGUAGGAUGGAAAGAAGCUUCUCCCAGUCUCUCAGCACUGACUGUGGAAUGUGGGAUCCCCAUUCCGGGACACACGAGACUGUGAAACCUUCCCAGCAGGAUCAGUGCCAGCUUGGAGCACCAGUGCUCCAUCUCAUCCAAGCUCUUCCCCAUUUCUUCCUUCUGGGUCAUGGGUGCUCCUUCUCCAGGAGGCCUGGCUAAGGCGCCUUAGGAAGCUCUUCCCUUAAUCCCUGACAUCUGGGGCGUUAACGCCUGAUCGGAUAAGGGGGUAAGCUCUCAGCCUCCUCCUCACCGCUGCCCUCCACGAGACAUGCAUGGAAAAAUCAGCCUUGUCCUGCAGGAUGAGUGAGGCCCUUCUGCAAGGCUGGAGCCUCUCAGGGCCGGGGCACGGGAGCGGAAGGCUCAGGAGGGUGGGAGGGAUGGAUGGAUCGUGUCCUAAUCGCUGAUCCAACAGCAGCAGAACUGGGACGUGGCCAGAGGAAGUGGGUCACACCAGCCUCAGGUGCCCUGGGACAAGGACUCCCCAUGGGAUGGCUGUGCCUCUUGGAAUUAUCUCACCCCACAGCCUGUGAAACCACCACUCGUGAAAUUCUGGGUCUAAGUCUUCCCUGAGGGGAAGAGCUUCUUGUGGAGAAGUCCCAUGGCCCUGGAAGCUGUGCAUCCAUCUCGGUUCCAGUGUGUCCCUCCCAGCUUCCAUGGGAGAAAGCAACUCUCUUCAGCUACAGUAUUUCACUGUGAUGGCCCACCUUCAACCUUGCAGUUAGCACCAGGAGCACCUGAAAGCUCCAAGGUUUUACAUGUGGACACAAGUGCCUCACGGGAUUGUUAAUUUUCCCCUCCCAUCUCUGAGACUUCCUGCCACCUCUUUGUGUGUCCUGACUUUGCCUGAAGAGUUGAGAGCUGUACAAGGAAAGCACAGCUAUGGGGGAAGGGGGCACUGACAGGUCUGGGUGCUGAGGGAAAGGAUCAGCAGUACUUUCUGCAGAGGGACUUUUCCUGGCUCAGCAGAUCCCCUCCACUCUCUUUAACAUGAGGUGUGGUCCAGGUUUGGCUUCAUGCGUGGUCCCCGGGAACCUUUCACAGAGAGAGAACUGCCAACAGAGGGUCAACAAGAUCCAGACCGGGAUGUUUCCCCUUUUUGGAGCUGACUGUGGGGCAGGUUCCCCAUCACCAUCCUGCUCCAGGCUCUCCCCCAGAACAGCCUCACAGGAGUGGAUACACUGAGCCAUAAAGCAGCUGGGAAGCAGGAGAGCUGCACCACGCCAACCUCUUCUCGUGGUAUUUGCAAGCAGGCAGGCCCCUGUCAGCUCCCAGGCUUUUCCUCCCUCUGCUGAUCCAGGAUGAACUGGUGCCUUGGGAGCCAGAAUGGAGAGGAAGCAGCAGCAAACCCCAGACACAGAUAACCAGGCACUGACUGCCGAGGGCUGUGGGACGAGCAGGGUGACUCCAGUGAGGGUCUGACAAAUCCUGGGCAGCUGGCACCGAUCUGCCACUGUCCCAGGAAACCUACUGGCAGCUGGAACCACUGACCACAGCAAUGGCUGUGCCUCUUCUUUCCCCCCCUCUUCUUUCUUUCCCCCCUUUUUUCCCUGCCCUUCUUUCCCCCGGGGUGGGCACAUGCCCGGCCCAUGUCCAUGGUCACCUGCAGAUCCCGGGGGUUGGAUCCCUUCCCUCGGGGUCACACCUGGCUGCUCUGAGCUGGGCCUUACCUGAGUGCCCCCCUGCAGUGCUGAGCACAGGGCUGGGGUUUGCCUCCCGUGUGGGAGCAGGAGCAUCAUCCAUCAUCCCCCUGCUGCUGUGACAGCCCGAGCGGCCCCACAAACAGCCACUUAAUGCAUUUCGUGCUGCCUUGGUUGUUGUCUUGCAGUGCUUAACCUGCUCCACCGGGGUUUGAUACGGGAACAGCAGGAGGGAAGGAGGGAACGAGAAAAUAAAAGCCAGGAAUGGCCAUGAAUUACCCUGAAUUACACCAGAGUCAUGGGGAGGAAUCCGAGUGGGACCAGG
Pseudopipra pipra is the source of this 2606-nucleotide long non-coding RNA. RefSeq lists it as uncharacterized. Lineage: Eukaryota; Metazoa; Chordata; Aves; Passeriformes; Pipridae. The record is from RefSeq and is a predicted model, not a curated record. The transcript is spliced from 6 exons.